Molecule: ribosomal RNA, 465 nt
Filed under: Vreelandella stevensii
Lineage: Bacteria; Pseudomonadati; Pseudomonadota; Gammaproteobacteria; Oceanospirillales; Halomonadaceae
Description: partial 16S ribosomal RNA
Rfam family: Bacterial small subunit ribosomal RNA
Source: RNAcentral
CCUACGGAUGGCUGCAGUGGGGAAUAUUGGACAAUGGGCGAAAGCCUGAUCCAGCCAUGCCGCGUGUGUGAAGAAGGCCUUCGGGUUGUAAAGCACUUUCAGUGGGGAAGAAAGCCUUGGGGCUAAUACCCUCGAGGAAGGACAUCACCCACAGAAGAAGCACCGGCUAACUCCGUGCCAGCAGCCGCGGUAAUACGGAGGGUGCGAGCGUUAAUCGGAAUUACUGGGCGUAAAGCGCGCGUAGGCGGUCUGAUAAGCCGGUUGUGAAAGCCCCGGGCUCAACCUGGGAACGGCAUCCGGAACUGUCAGGCUAGAGUGCAGGAGAGGAAGGUAGAAUUCCCGGUGUAGCGGUGAAAUGCGUAGAGAUCGGGAGGAAUACCAGUGGCGAAGGCGGCCUUCUGGACUGACACUGACGCUGAGGUGCGAAAGCGUGGGUAGCAAACAGGAUUAGAUACCCCUGUAGUC